GAGUUUGAUCAUGGCUCAGAACGUACGCUGGCGGCACGCCUAACACAUGCAAGUCGAACGAAGUAGCAAUACUUAGUGGCAGACGGGUGAGUAACAUGUGGGUAUCUACCCUUUGGCCUGGAAUAACACGAGGAAACUUGUGCUAAUACCGGAUAAGUCUUUACGGAGAAAGCUUUAUGCACCAUUGGAUGAGCCCGCACUUGAUUAGUUUGUUGGUAGGGUAAUGGCCUACCAAGACUAUGAUCAAUAGCUGAUUUGAGAGGAUGAUCAGCCACAUUGGGACUGAGACACGGCCCAAACUCCUACGGGAGGCAGCAGUGGGGAAUCUUGCACAAUGGAGGAAACUCUGAUGCAGCGAUGCCGCGUGAGUGAAGAAGGCCUUUGGGUUGUAAAG
This 394-nucleotide ribosomal RNA is filed under the name uncultured Alphaproteobacteria bacterium. Its description in RNAcentral is "bacterial SSU rRNA". It matches the Rfam family "Bacterial small subunit ribosomal RNA", at positions 9 to 430 of the family's 1533-position model. The record is from RNAcentral. Lineage: Bacteria; Pseudomonadati; Pseudomonadota; Alphaproteobacteria.